UGAAUGCGGCUGAAAAUCCUACCCAACUCCUUCUUCUGGCCGCCUGCCGCUAUACCUCCCUCUCCUUAUACACCAUCCCUCUGACACGCUUUAGCAUGGCAACAGAAAAGGCAUGGACGGAAGCAAUAGGUCUGUGGUAGAGAUGGAAAAACUAGAUCCCUGCGACUCUCCUCAAUCACACCCAGAAUGACGUAACCACCCACAGACUCCACUUCCUACAGAUUCUACCACCUCCCAAGUCCCAGAGGGUCUUCACAGCACAUACCAGAGAAUGUGUGCAGUGCCCACAAAGCUGGUAGCCCUGAGUUUACACAACACAACAGUACUCUGCCAGUCUGUGACUGCAUGUAAACGUGAGACUUGACUGCACCGUCGAAGAGGCCGACCGAGGAGGCCAGGAAGACACAUACUUAUAAAGAAGUUCCUUUACUUGUAAGUGAGUGUGCAUAUCUAUGGUGAGACGAGUGAUCAAGCGUGCGCAUCUGCCCUUCUCAAACUCUGCUCCCUGGAGGUAUGAGGUGAGGGGUGUUGGGUGAGGAACAUGUGUCCUCCUCCCGCACGACUCCUCCAGACCUCUACAGAAUGAGCCUGAAGGGCCAGGAAUGGAGCUCGGUGGCAGCAUGAUUUCCCAGCAUAUAUCAGGUGCCACAUUCAGUCGCUAGUGUGGAAAAAAAAGCGGAACACGGCUCAGAAACACUUUUUCUAAAGAUUCAUGAUAUUGGAUAUUUCAGUAGAUAAAAACAUCACUAGCAGAUGGCUGCUAACAGCAAGAGAACUUGAAAGCCAGCAUAUUUCAACGGCAACAGCCACUCUUACUCACUCCCUUUCCUGGUAACCUCUUUAUUUUGUCUUUAAAACCCUAAUAAAAACACUACGUAAUUUGCUCCAACACCA
Non-coding RNA from Rattus norvegicus (Norway rat), 894 nucleotides. The record is from RefSeq and is a predicted model, not a curated record. NCBI's taxonomy places the organism in Eukaryota, Metazoa, Chordata, Mammalia, Rodentia, Muridae.